This 129-nucleotide ribosomal RNA is filed under the name uncultured bacterium. RNAcentral's name for it is "partial 16S ribosomal RNA". The record is from RNAcentral.
UGACGCGGUGAAUACGUUCCCGGGGCCUUGUACACACCCGCCCCGUCAAGCCAUGGAAGUUGGGGGGUACCUUAAAAGUUACGUAAACCCGCAAAGGAGCGUCCUAGGGUAAAACCGAUAACUGGGGCU